This 468-nucleotide ribosomal RNA is filed under the name uncultured bacterium. RNAcentral describes it as "partial 16S ribosomal RNA". It matches the Rfam family "Bacterial small subunit ribosomal RNA", at positions 28 to 507 of the family's 1533-position model. The record is from RNAcentral.
GAUGAACGCUGGCGGCGUGCUUAACACAUGCAAGUCGAACGGAAAGGCCCUGCUUUUGUGGGGUGCUCGAGAGGCGAACAGGGGAGUAAAACAUGAGUAACCUGCCCUUGACUUUGGGAUAACUUCAGGAAACUGGGGCUAAUACCGGAUAGAAGAUCCUGAUGCAUGGGGGGGGUUGGAAAGUUUCGGCGGUUGUGGCUGGACUAGCGGCUUAUCAGCUUGUUGGUGGGGUAGUGGCUUACCAAGGCUUUGACGGGUAGCCGGCCUGGGAGGGUGACCGGCCACAUUGGGCCUGCGAUACGGCCCAGACUGCUACGGGACGCAGCAGUGGGGAAUAUUGCACAAUGGGCCGAAGUCUGAUGCAGCAACGCCGCGUGCGGGAUGACGGCCUUCGGGGUGUAAACCGCUUUCGCCGGUGACGUAGCGUUAGUGACGGUAACGGGUAAAGAAGCACCGGCUAACUACGUG